Molecule: ribosomal RNA, 446 nt
Filed under: uncultured bacterium
Lineage: Bacteria
Description: partial 16S ribosomal RNA
Rfam family: Bacterial small subunit ribosomal RNA
Source: RNAcentral
CCUACGUGUGGCAGCAGUCGAGAAUCAUUCACAAUGGGCGAAACCCUGAUCCUGCGACGCCGCGUGGGGGAAUGAAGUUCUUCGGAUUGUAAACCCCUUUCAUGUGGGAGCAAAUUAAAAAGAUAGUACCACAAGAGGAAUAGACGGCUAACUCUGUGCCAGCAGCCGCGGUAAUACAGAGGUGUCAAGCGUUGUUCGGAAUCACUGGGCGUAAAGCGUGCGUAGGCUGUUUCGUAAGUCGUGUGUGAAAGGCGCGGGCUCAACCCGCGGAGGGCCGAUGAUACUGCGAGACUAGAGUAAUGGAGGGGGAACCGGAAUGCUCGGUGUAGCAGUGAAAUGCGUAGAUAUCGAGAGGAACCCUCGUGGCGAAGGCGGGUUCCUGGACAUUAACUGACGCUGAGGCACGAAGGCCAGGGGAGCGAAAGGGAUUAGAUACCCGGGUAGUC